GAUGAACGCUGGCGGCGUGCCUAAUACAUGCAAGUCGAGCGAACGGACGAGAAGCUUGCUUCUCUGAUGUUAGCGGCGGACGGGUGAGUAGCACGUGGAUAACCUACCUAUAAGACUGGGAUAACUUCGGGAAACCGGAGCUAAUACCGGAUAAUAUUUUGAACCGCAUGGUUCAAAAGUGAAAGACGGUCUUGCUGUCACUUAUAGAUGGAUCCGCGCUGCAUUAGCUAGUUGGUAAGGUAACGGCUUACCAAGGCAACGAUGCAUAGCCGACCUGAGAGGGUCAUCGGCCACACUGGAACUUAGACACGGUCCAGACUCCUACGGGAGGCAGCAGUAGGGAAUCUUCCGCAAUGGGCGAAAGCCUGACGGAGCAACGCCGCGUGAGUGAUGAAGGUCUUCGGAUCGUAAAACUCUGUUAUUAGGGAAGAACAUAUGUGUAAGUAACUGUGCACAUCUUGACGGUACCUAAUCAGAAAGCCACGGCUAACUACGUG
RNAcentral lists this ribosomal RNA (497 nucleotides) under uncultured bacterium. Its description in RNAcentral is "partial 16S ribosomal RNA". It matches the Rfam family "Bacterial small subunit ribosomal RNA", at positions 28 to 507 of the family's 1533-position model. The record is from RNAcentral.